This 804-nucleotide long non-coding RNA is filed under the name Pan troglodytes (chimpanzee). Its description in RNAcentral is "long non-coding RNA NONPTRT016225". The record is from RNAcentral. Lineage: Eukaryota; Metazoa; Chordata; Mammalia; Primates; Hominidae.
GAAAGGUGUUGGUGAAGGUGACUCAGUGAGCGGACGGCAUCACAGAAUGCAGGAAACUGUGGUAGUCUGGUGGUGGAGGGGGGCGGAGUACUAUGACACUAGCUGUAACCACAGCAACUCACAUUCAUCCUGGGCCUAGGACAGCACAGCAACAAUUCUAGACUCUUCAUGUGUUUUAGUUCAUGGAACCCUCACCAGAACCCUGAAGAGAACUUGACACUGGUACUCAAUAACUACUUGUUGAAUGAGCCAAUUGAUGGAUGGGAAAAAUCAACGGAAGCAGUAGUUCCCAAAGUGUCGUCUAGACCAGCAGCCUCAGCAUCACCAAGGAACUGGUCAGGAAAGCAAAUUCUCAGGCCGUACCCCAGGUCUACUGCAGCACAGAUACGACUCUCAAAGAAGGAAUACAGGUUACAAGAUUCACAGCCACUUCCUGUCCCUUGGAAUGGAAAAUGCCUGCAUGCCAACCUGAGCCCAACUCACUUUUCAGCUCGAGGCACUUCCUGACAUCCUUACAUCCAGCUGGAAUCCCCACUUCCCCCCAAUGUCUGCCACCCCCUCCCUGUUCCAUCAGGCCAAGGGAAGACACCACCAUCUAUCUACCCAGCUGCCCGGUUCAGAAAUGGCACCCAGAGGUCUCCUGCCCGUUUACCCGUGCGUUCCCAUCCUGAGGAUCCCAACUCCUUGUCUUCAGUUUCUUUAAUGCUGUCUUAAUUCUGGCCCUGAUCAUCUCCUUUGAAUGUAACAGCAUCCUAACUGGUCUCCCUGCUCCAAUCUCAACCUCCUGUAACUGCAUCUUAAGAU